This is a non-coding RNA of Sus scrofa (pig), 628 nucleotides long. The record is from RefSeq and is a predicted model, not a curated record. Lineage: Eukaryota; Metazoa; Chordata; Mammalia; Artiodactyla; Suidae.
CCUGUCUUUCAGAAAAUGAAACACAGAAGACUCUUGCAUACAAACUACUUAGCACAUUAAUAUGCAUAAUUUGUAAUGGCUGUAAAUCAAUUAGGACAUUGACAAAAAUACAAAGAUGCCAUUGAUUAAAAAUAAGAUUUUGUUGAAGACAUGCCUCUCCAUUUGUUGUAAGCAAGACUUUUGACCAGUCUCUAGGGAUCUUGAAUGAUUAUCGUUACUGGCUUUGACUCAUUAAGUAGAUAACUUCUGGGGGAAAAGAUUCUCCACAUUCCUCACGCUGCCAUUCUACAAGCCCUGCUUCAUCAGGAGCAGCACCUGGCAGAAAGGAGCAAGUCCAUAAACAAAAUGGGCCGUGACAAUAAAGAUGACAGAACCCCAUCUAAAGUCUUAGUACAGAAUUUCAGUUCAAGAGGAGUGGAGCCAGCCCUUGUAGAAGCCCAUGCAAAUGCUUGGGGGUAUCAUUGUUCUGAUGAAAUACGGGUGGACUAUUCUAUUGGGCAGAACACUAACCUCUUCUUGGAGUGUUUUCUCAGAAUUCCCUUGUGACAGUGGUUCACCCAUGAUUUGUAAAUAUAUAAAACAUUUUCAAUAUCUAUGUAUUGUUUGAAGAUGGAAUUAAAAGUAGCCU